AAUUUGAAGAAAAAAUGUGAAUAAAAUAAAAUGACAUAAUAGUAAAAAAUGAGAAGGAGGAAUGAAGAGAAAGUAUGAAGCUUUUAUUAGUGUAAAUUAAUAUAAAGGAAAGAGUAAUUUAAAUAGUUUGGUAGUAGUUAAUUUUAAUAGAAAGAUAGUCGAUACUUAAAAAAAAAUGGGAAAAAGAAAAUGAAGUGUUAAAAAAUUAAAAAUAAAAAUGAGAAAGUGUGGGGGAAAAAAUAUGAAAGAGAUUUG
RNAcentral lists this long non-coding RNA (255 nucleotides) under Lathyrus oleraceus (garden pea). RNAcentral's name for it is "Pisum sativum (pea) long non-coding RNA (PSAT_LNC013967)". The record is from RNAcentral. Lineage: Eukaryota; Viridiplantae; Streptophyta; Magnoliopsida; Fabales; Fabaceae.